Molecule: long non-coding RNA, 550 nt
Organism: Eriocheir sinensis (Chinese mitten crab)
Lineage: Eukaryota; Metazoa; Arthropoda; Malacostraca; Decapoda; Varunidae
Exons: 3
Source: RefSeq, a predicted model, not a curated record
CUCGUGGUGACAGGCAGUGACGGCCCGGCGGAAACAAGGGUUUGAAAGGAAUCGAGAAAAAGAGUGUCACAAAGGAAGUGGAGACUGCCUCGAGUUCUGAUGGAGGGGACGUGCUUGUGGCAGGUCAUCUCAGGUCGUCUGGUUAUUAAGGUGGUCAGUACUGUCUUGCUGGCCCCACCCCCCCCGCCCCUGGACCCUCGGGAUCUCCAGCACCGCCAUGAACGCCCCAGGGGAGCCGAGGCGCUCUGCUGGGACUCCUGGGCCCUGCGACGCUCGCCAGGGAGACCUUGGGCCCCCUGACGCUCCCCAGCCCUGCCGAGGCGAGGAGGGUUGGAGCAAGACUUGUCUCUUAAAACCACCAGACGGGAAUAUUAAGUUAAUCGAAAAUACCGUGAAGGCGCCGACCACGGAGUUUGUCGGAUCCGGGAUGGCAGAACGAAGGGUCGAAGGAACGUGACAGAUCAGCCUAAGAAACAAACAAAAACAACUCCAGAAAAGGAAUAAUACAGAAACAGAAUAAAUAUCGGCAACAUUCGUUUCCCUCUUUCCU